AUAUGAAUCAUAUAGGGAUCUUACUAAAGUGCAGAUUCUGAUGCAAUGGGUAUGGAGCAGAGCCUUCCUCUUUCUCUUUCAUGCUCUCUCCCUUGCAGUGCUGGGGAGUGCAUCUAGGGUCUCCUAAAUGUUAAUCAAGCACUCUACACUUAGUUACAUCCCCAGCUCUGGGAUUCUGCCUUUUUAAGAAGCACCUAGAUAAUGCCCAU
RNAcentral lists this microRNA precursor (209 nucleotides) under Marmota monax (woodchuck). Lineage: Eukaryota; Metazoa; Chordata; Mammalia; Rodentia; Sciuridae. The record is from RNAcentral.